Eucalyptus grandis is the source of this 1347-nucleotide long non-coding RNA. RefSeq lists it as uncharacterized. The transcript has 2 exons. The record is from RefSeq and is a predicted model, not a curated record. NCBI's taxonomy places the organism in Eukaryota, Viridiplantae, Streptophyta, Magnoliopsida, Myrtales, Myrtaceae.
AAAAAAAAAACUCUUGAUAUACAAUAUGGUCAGGGUCUGUCACAGGUGUUAUUUUCUUCUUAACCGCGAGACUUCUCUAGAGUAAAACGGUAGAUUGAUUAAUAUUCUGAACAUGCGUCUGCAUUUUAUUUUGGAAUUUGGUCUGUUAUGAUAAGGGGCCAUGGAUCCUCAUUCUGUCUUGGUGGUAGUCGCUAACAUUAUGGUAGAGAAUCGUGUUAUAUGCUGGUUCCAGACAUUGAUGCAGAUUCUGCUAUUUGUCGAAUCGUCUGCAUGCGCAAACCGAGUACGUAGCAUUGACUGAGAGAGCCCAUAUGCCUGAUGGGGAUAGAUUCGCCAUUUACUGAAACGGUUUAAUGUCUGUGGAUGGCUUUUGUACAAAGGAACAGCUGCAAUGGGAUGGGUCUAUUUUCAAAUUGGACUUCUACUUUGUCUUUCCUCUGCUGUGUUGUCUUCUUGCCUCUUUAUCGUGGUAUGGCUGCUAGGUAUUGUGACGUUGUGGCUUGAUCCCUGUGGGUCGAGCCAUCAUAAUUUAGUUGCUUGCCUUGCCUCAUUAGGAAUUCUUGAAGUCAGAUAUGAUGAGGCAACGCCUGAUGGUGGGAGAGAGAAGCUUAGGGGAGAGACCCAACACUCUAUGGAUAACUUAGUUUCAGACGAUACCAAAUUGUUAGAUCCAAUCAUUCAAGAUUUUUUUGGGGCUAGGUCUUCGAGCGCAACAAAUUUUCUCCCUGCCCUAUCAUUUUCACCAUUUAUCAACCUUCAGUCGGAUGCCAAAUCCUCAUACUCUUUCUCUCUAAAAUGGUUCGUUGAUCACAUUUUUUUCCUUUGUCAUUACAAUGAUUUAAAAAUUAAUAGUGCCACGUGAUUUCCAAAUUAUGGCUGCCGAAAUAACGAGAGUUGUCAAUGAGCCUGGCAUUUCUGAUAAAAUUUUAAGCAUCUUAGAUAAUGCCUCCGUUAAUGCAUUCCUAAUGCAGAGUUUGAUCCAAUGGCUCAGUCUUGUUAGCAAUGGGAAUUUUCUCCACCUACGCCGCUGCAUUUAUCUGUUCAUGGAAGGCAAGUUGAAAAUAUCACCUUACACAAAAAAAGACGAGGUGAAUUCCACGUAUAAGAUGUUAUAGAAGGCAGGCAAGGAGAUGGAGACGCUAAAGCUGGACUCCACCACUCAUAUCAUAGAUUUUGCUGUUGACAAGACAAGAUUGGAGGGUUGCUUCAGGGAUUUCUUGCUAGUUUUCAAUGAUGCAACGGCCCACGGGUGCGUUGUUGUUCGAAAAUUAUCCAUCAAGCAACCACGUUGUUCAUUUCUGUACAUAACAUUAGUAAAUUGGUGAACAAAGAGAAUGAUUCCUUUUU